CCUCCUACGGGAGGCAGCAGUAGGGAAUCUUCCGCAAUGGACGAAAGUCUGACGGAGCAACGCCGCGUGAGUGAUGAAGGUUUUCGGAUCGUAAAGCUCUGUUGUUAGGGAAGAACAAGUACCGUUCGAAUAGGGCGGUACCUUGACGAUACCUAACCAGAAAGCCACGGCUAACUACGUGCCAGCAGCCGCGGUAAUACGUAGGUGGCAAGCGUUGUCCGGAAUUAUUGGGCGUAAAGGGCUCGCAGGCGGUUUCUUAAGUCUGAUGUGAAAGCCCCCGGCUCAACCGAGGAGGGUCAUUGGAAACUGGGGAACUUGAGUGCAGAAGAGGAGAGUGGAAUUCCACGUGUAGCGGUGAAAAGCGUAGAGAUGUGGAGGAACACCAGUGGCGAAGGCGACUCUCUGGUCUGUAACUGACGCUGAGGAGCGAAAGCGUGGGGAGCGAACAGGAUUAGAAACCCUGGUAGUCCACGCCGUAAACGAUGAGUGCUAAGUGUUAGAGGGUUUCCGCCCCUUAGUGCUGCAGCUAACGCAUUAAGCACUCCGCCUGGGGAGUACGGUCGCAAGACUGAAACUCAAAGGAAUUGACGGCGGCCCGCACAAGCGGUGGAGCAUGUCGUUU
RNAcentral lists this ribosomal RNA (622 nucleotides) under Bacillus subtilis. RNAcentral's name for it is "bacterial SSU rRNA". It matches the Rfam family "Bacterial small subunit ribosomal RNA", at positions 335 to 947 of the family's 1533-position model. Lineage: Bacteria; Bacillati; Bacillota; Bacilli; Caryophanales; Bacillaceae. The record is from RNAcentral.